UGCACUCACUACUGUAAGUCGCUCUGGAUAAGAGCAAUUGCUAAAUGAUGAAAA
Salmo salar (Atlantic salmon) is the source of this 54-nucleotide non-coding RNA. The record is from Rfam. Lineage: Eukaryota; Metazoa; Chordata; Actinopteri; Salmoniformes; Salmonidae.